This is an RNA transcript of Tachysurus fulvidraco (yellow catfish), 991 nucleotides long. It is a transcript of the gene named transmembrane protein 50B, with no coding region annotated. NCBI's taxonomy places the organism in Eukaryota, Metazoa, Chordata, Actinopteri, Siluriformes, Bagridae. The record is from RefSeq and is a predicted model, not a curated record. The transcript is spliced from 8 exons.
GAAACUGUCGGCGGCUCGCUUGAAGGUUGCCGCACUGGCCAAUCAGCGCGCAGGAGGAGGUCCCGCGGUUUAAAAACAGACCUGAUUUUGAAGGACGCGGUGGCGCCGUGAGUAGAGCGCAAUUUACAGAGUGAUAAUUGCAGUCGGAAUAGUGUGCUAAUGAGCUGAACACAUUGAGGUGCAAACAGUGGACGGACAGACAGACACUGGAGGACAGAGACAUGGCCGGGUUUCUGGAUAACUUCCGCUGGCCGGAGUGUGAGUGCAUCGACUGGGGAGAGAAGAGGAACACUGUGGCCUCCAUCGUGGCUGGUUUUCUGUUUUUUACAGGAUGGUGGGUUAUAAUCGAUGCUGCUGUACACUACCCAAAACCCGAGGAUCUAAAUCACGCUUUUCACACCUGUGGGGUUUUCUCUACAUUGGCUUUUUUCAUGAUUAAUGCUGUGUCAAACGCUCAUAUCCGUGGGGACUCGUAUGAAGAGGGCUGCUUUGGACACAGAGGUGCUCGUGUUUGGCUCUUUAUCGGCUUCCUGAUCAUGUUCGUCUCUCUCAUCGCCUCAGUCUGGAUCUUGUUCGGAGCUUAUGUUGCACCAGGACUUCCUGUGUAUCCUGGACUCUGUGUCUUCUUCCAGAACUUGUUAAUAUUUUUCAGGUCUGGACAUGCUCCUGAUGGUGGAUGGUGUCCAAGGGGAUCGGGGGAUCAGUGAGCUCCUGUACUGUCUGUGGCUACUUGGUGGCUUUGGAUGCUCCAAUACAUAACAUCCCAAAAGGCUCUCAAUCGGAUUCAGGUUUGAAGAAUGUCACUGGGAUCAUGAGGGUCAUCCAAAAACUGCCAACAUCCCAUAUUUGGAACUCUCUGGUCUACAAAUUUGGACGAACUGAAGAAUUAUGGGGCUAAUUUGUUCCACACCAUCCAGCUAAACCCUGAACUCUGUUUGCUCAUAUUGCAGUCCUCCUUUACUACUAGAUUUACUACUGAUUUAGUGUAGUG